This 1466-nucleotide ribosomal RNA is filed under the name Lactiplantibacillus plantarum. RNAcentral describes it as "bacterial SSU rRNA". It matches the Rfam family "Bacterial small subunit ribosomal RNA". The record is from RNAcentral. Lineage: Bacteria; Bacillati; Bacillota; Bacilli; Lactobacillales; Lactobacillaceae.
UCCGGGGGGGGGGUGGCCCUAUACAUGCAAGUCGAACGAACUCUGGUAUUGAUUGGUGCUUGCAUCAUGAUUUACAUUUGAGUGAGUGGCGAACUGGUGAGUAACACGUGGGAAACCUGCCCAGAAGCGGGGGAUAACACCUGGAAACAGAUGCUAAUACCGCAUAACAACUUGGACCGCAUGGUCCGAGUUUGAAAGAUGGCUUCGGCUAUCACUUUUGGAUGGUCCCGCGGCGUAUUAGCUAGAUGGUGGGGUAACGGCUCACCAUGGCAAUGAUACGUAGCCGACCUGAGAGGGUAAUCGGCCACAUUGGGACUGAGACACGGCCCAAACUCCUACGGGAGGCAGCAGUAGGGAAUCUUCCACAAUGGACGAAAGUCUGAUGGAGCAACGCCGCGUGAGUGAAGAAGGGUUUCGGCUCGUAAAACUCUGUUGUUAAAGAAGAACAUAUCUGAGAGUAACUGUUCAGGUAUUGACGGUAUUUAACCAGAAAGCCACGGCUAACUACGUGCCAGCAGCCGCGGUAAUACGUAGGUGGCAAGCGUUGUCCGGAUUUAUUGGGCGUAAAGCGAGCGCAGGCGGUUUUUUAAGUCUGAUGUGAAAGCCUUCGGCUCAACCGAAGAAGUGCAUCGGAAACUGGGAAACUUGAGUGCAGAAGAGGACAGUGGAACUCCAUGUGUAGCGGUGAAAUGCGUAGAUAUAUGGAAGAACACCAGUGGCGAAGGCGGCUGUCUGGUCUGUAACUGACGCUGAGGCUCGAAAGUAUGGGUAGCAAACAGGAUUAGAUACCCUGGUAGUCCAUACCGUAAACGAUGAAUGCUAAGUGUUGGAGGGUUUCCGCCCUUCAGUGCUGCAGCUAACGCAUUAAGCAUUCCGCCUGGGGAGUACGGCCGCAAGGCUGAAACUCAAAGGAAUUGACGGGGGCCCGCACAAGCGGUGGAGCAUGUGGUUUAAUUCGAAGCUACGCGAAGAACCUUACCAGGUCUUGACAUACUAUGCAAAUCUAAGAGAUUAGACGUUCCCUUCGGGGACAUGGAUACAGGUGGUGCAUGGUUGUCGUCAGCUCGUGUCGUGAGAUGUUGGGUUAAGUCCCGCAACGAGCGCAACCCUUAUUAUCAGUUGCCAGCAUUAAGUUGGGCACUCUGGUGAGACUGCCGGUGACAAACCGGAGGAAGGUGGGGAUGACGUCAAAUCAUCAUGCCCCUUAUGACCUGGGCUACACACGUGCUACAAUGGAUGGUACAACGAGUUGCGAACUCGCGAGAGUAAGCUAAUCUCUUAAAGCCAUUCUCAGUUCGGAUUGUAGGCUGCAACUCGCCUACAUGAAGUCGGAAUCGCUAGUAAUCGCGGAUCAGCAUGCCGCGGUGAAUACGUUCCCGGGCCUUGUACACACCGCCCGUCACACCAUGAGAGUUUGUAACACCCAAAGUCGGUGGGGUAACCUUUUAGGAACCAAGCCCCGCCCG